UACGCAGGGUGCAAGCGUUGUCCGGAAUUAUUGGGCGUAAAGAGCUCGUAGGCGGUCUGUUGCGUCGGCUGUGAAAACCCGAGGCUCAACCUCGGGCCUGCAGCCGAUACGGGCAGACUAGAGUUCGGCAGGGGAGACUGGAAUUCCUGGUGUAGCGGCGAAAUGCGCAGAUAUCAGGAGGAACACCGGUGGCGAAGGCGGGUCUCUGGGCCGAUACUGACGCUGGAGGAGCGAAAGCGUGGGGAGCGAACAGG
RNAcentral lists this ribosomal RNA (254 nucleotides) under uncultured bacterium. Its description in RNAcentral is "partial 16S ribosomal RNA". It matches the Rfam family "Bacterial small subunit ribosomal RNA", at positions 524 to 776 of the family's 1533-position model. The record is from RNAcentral.